GUGAGGAAUAUUGGUCAAUGGGCGAUGGCCUGAACCAGCCAAGUAGCGUGCGGGAUGACGGCCCUAUGGGUUGUAAACCGCUUUUGCAGGGGAAUAAAGUGCGGUACGCGUACCGUUUUGUAUGUACCCUGAGAAUAAGGACCGGCUAAUUCCGUGCCAGCAGCCGCGGUAAUACGGAAGGUCCGGGCGUUAUCCGGAUUUAUUGGGUUUAAAGGGAGCGCAGGCUGGAUAUUAAGCGUGACGUGAAAUGCCGCGGCUCAACCGUGGAAGUGCGUCGCGAACUGGUGUCCUUGAGUGUAUUCGACGUCAGCGGAAUUCGUGGUGUAGCGGUGAAAUGCUUAGAUAUCACGAAGAACUCCGAUUGCGAAGGCAGCUGGCGAGGCUACAACUGACGCUAAAGCUCGAAGGUGCGGGUAUCGAACAGGAUUAGAAACCCUAGUAGUCC
Molecule: ribosomal RNA, 445 nt
Filed under: uncultured bacterium
Lineage: Bacteria
Description: bacterial SSU rRNA
Rfam family: Bacterial small subunit ribosomal RNA
Source: RNAcentral